RNAcentral lists this ribosomal RNA (1430 nucleotides) under metagenome. RNAcentral's name for it is "bacterial SSU rRNA". It matches the Rfam family "Archaeal small subunit ribosomal RNA". The record is from RNAcentral.
ACCAGUUGAUCCUGCUGGAGGCUGCUGCUAUUUGAGUCCGAUUUAGCCAUGCAAGUCAGGUAGUAAUACCGGCGAAAUGCUCAGUAACACGUAGUUAACUUGCCAUAUGAUUGAGGAUAACCUCGGAAACCUGAGGGUAAAACUCAAUAUGGAAUGCAUUCUGGAAUGAAGUAUUCUUGAAACGUAAGGUCAUAUGAUAGGACUGCGGCGGAUUAGGUUGUUGGUAGGGUAAUGGCCUACCAAGCCUACGAUCCGUACGGGCCUUGGAAGAGGUAACCCGGAGAGGGACACUGAGAUACUGGUCCCAGCCCCACGGGGUGCAGCAGGCGCGAAACCUUUACAAUGCACGAAAGUGUGAUAGGGGGACUCAAAGUGCUCAUGUUUUACAUGGGCUUUUUGCCAAGUCUAAAAUCCUUGGCGAAUAAGUGGUGGGAAAGACUGGUGCCAGCCGCCGCGGUAACACCAGCGCCACGAGUGGGAGCCGCUAUUAUUGGGUCUAAAGCGUCCGUAGCAGGUUUAGUAAAUUAUUUGUGAAAUCGGAUAGCUCAACUAUUCGGAUUGCAGAUAAGACUGCUAAACUAGAGAUCGGGAGAAGUUGGAGGUAUUCAAGGGGGAGCGGUAAAAUGCGAGAAUCCCUUGAGGACCACCUGUUGCGAAGGCGUCCAACAAUAACGAGUCUGACUGUGAGGGACGAAAGCUAGGGGAGCGAACCGGAUUAGAUACCCGAGUAGUCCUAGCCCUAAACGUUGCGAGCUAGGUGUUGCAUAAUCUCCGGGAUUAUGCAGUAUCGUAGAGAAGUCGUUAAGCUCGCCACCUGGGAAGUACGGCCGCAAGACUGAAACUUAAAGGAAUUGGCGGGGGAGCACCACAAGGGGUGCGGCGUGCGGUUUAAUCGAAUUCAACGCCGAAAAUCUCACCAGCAGCGACGGCAGGAUGAAAGACAGUCUAAAGGGCUUUCUUGACGAGCCGAGAGGUAGUGCAUGGCCGCCGUCAGCUCGUAUCGUGAGAUGUCCUGUUAAGUCAGGUAACGAGCAAGACCUGUACCUAUAAUUGCUAACGGGUAUUAUAUAUGACUGAGCACAUUAUAGGGACUGCCUUGGAAACAAGGAGGAAGGUGCAGGCAACGGUAGGUCUGUAUGCUCCGAAUCCGCUGGGCUACACGCGCGCAACAAUGGUUAGGACAAUGGGAUGCAACUCCGAAAGGAGAAGCUAAACCUAGAAACCUAAUCUUAGUCUAGAUCGAGGUUUGUAACUCAGCCUCGUGACACCGGAAUCCCUAGUAAUCGGUCUUCAUCAUGGACCAGUGAAUAUGUCCCUGCUCUUUGCACACACCGCCCGUCAAACCAACCGAGCAUAGUUUGAGUGAGCCAUAGUUUUCUUGAUUAUGUCAAACUUAAGCUAAGUAAGGUGGGUUAAGUCGUCACAAGGUA